GGUGCUUCUAGCCACCCCUCCACUACCGGCGCCACCGUUGUCGACGGCAUAAACGCUGGCCUUCUUAUUUCAACCACCGAGACCAUACGUUUGUUUCUCGCCGGAGCUUCCGCGGGAGUUGAACUCUCCGAUGACCUGAGAGAACUCGCGUCUUCCCUUUCUGAUCAUCCCACGGUACCAUACAAACAUCUGAGGUCGGUUUGGAUUGGGUCUAACCCUUCAACGCGACCUGAUCUGAUGGGCUUGUUAUCCGGAUCCAAUUUCGUCUUCUGCAGUCCAAAACCUAGAGAGAAAAGUGAGGAACUCAAAGCUCGGUUGAAGAAACUAGAAGAAGCGUCGGAGAGGAAGGCGUAUGAUGAAUUGGUGAAGGAUAUUACUCCUAGGAAACCUGUGGAUGAACCUUUUUCCUCUUAUAAAGAUCAAAUGGGCUUUGGCUUACAUGUUGGUAUAGCAAUGUUCACUUGCUAUCUGAUGGGAUAUUUUACAUUCAGGGCCUUAUUUAAUCACAAUCCAGCAAUGAGCGCUGCUGGGGGCAUUCUUGGAUUGGUCAUUGCCAUGCUUGUCGAGACACUUCUCUUUAUUAUUAGAACUUCGAGUCUAGAUAAAAAACCGGCUAGAAAAGCCACAUCAACGCAGAAGAAGAAUCAGUAGGUUUCAUCACAAGAAGUUGAUUCGUUCUAUGUUUCCUUAGAAUAGGAAUAAAUAUUUUGGUAUUGAACAUCUCAUUUAUUUCUCCUCCUCUGAAAUUUUUAUGCUGUAAAAAUAUGUACUUUUUGAUUUGUGUAGCUCACUAUAGGUUCAUUAUAAGAGAACUAUUGCUCUGCAAUGCAUAAUUAUUUCUAAUUGGGAAGUUUGUCUUUGGCACUUGUAAUACAAGAUAAUUUUAUUGUCUUU
RNAcentral lists this unclassified non-coding RNA (894 nucleotides) under Hevea brasiliensis (rubber tree). The record is from RNAcentral. Lineage: Eukaryota; Viridiplantae; Streptophyta; Magnoliopsida; Malpighiales; Euphorbiaceae.